GAGCCGAAGCUGGACGCUUAACCGACUGAGCCACCCAGACUGAAAGCUUCUCGAAGAAAGAACUGGCUUUGGACUUCUCAGGAGGCUAUGCUCCCUCCUGGAAAGGGCACAGACUUAGAGUUCAACCUGGGUUCAACUCCUGGCUUUGACCCAUUACCAGCCCUGUGACCUUGGGAAGAAAGAGCCAAGCUGGAAAGCAGUCUGUGAGACCAUGAAGGAUGGAAUUCAUUUUCAUCAACAGAAACAGAGUAAAAUGAAAGAAUUUAAAAGGUGGACAUGGGAGCUGGUGAUCUUGACCUCCUUGGCCCCAAACUUUGA
Long non-coding RNA from Suricata suricatta (meerkat), 318 nucleotides. RefSeq lists it as uncharacterized. The transcript has 3 exons. NCBI's taxonomy places the organism in Eukaryota, Metazoa, Chordata, Mammalia, Carnivora, Herpestidae. The record is from RefSeq and is a predicted model, not a curated record.